RNAcentral lists this small nucleolar RNA (70 nucleotides) under Tupaia belangeri (northern tree shrew). Its description in RNAcentral is "Small nucleolar RNA SNORD112 (ENSTBEG00000020777.1)". Lineage: Eukaryota; Metazoa; Chordata; Mammalia; Scandentia; Tupaiidae. The record is from RNAcentral.
UGGAUCAAUGAUGAGUGUGCUAUUAACCAAGGAUUAUGAUUCAUUUAUUUCUAUGGACCUGAAGUCCAGU